AGGAGAGAGAGAAAGGGGAGGGACAGAGGGAGAGAAUCUCCAGCAAACUCCUCAUUGGUGUGGGCCUGCUGCGGGCCCAAUCUUACCACCCUGAGAUCAUGACCCUGAGAUCAUGGCCUGAGCCUGAGGCUUAACUGACUGAGCCACCCAGCAGAGGCUGAACAUGGAGAUGGGUGUAACCACAAGAUGGAACAGCCUGGGUGUCAGGCGUGCUUGGAAGGGAGUUGUUGGGAAGAGCCCCAGUACCUGCAGCCAACUUUGUGUGUCCACACCCUUGUCAAAAGGUGAGAAAUCUUUUGUCAUUGGUGAGAUGAUUCCAAGACAAGGCGCCAGCCAGUUUGUCUACCUGGAGCAUUCCCUGGAAACAGACCCAGUUCAUUCUCCUGUAUGAACAAAACAGUAUUGCUAUGUAGCCCUCCUGAGAAAGUUGUGCAGAGAAGUGUACCUGCUUUUCUACAACCUCACCAACUCAGAUGUGUCAUCAAACUUUUUGAUAUUUACCUAAUGGUAAAAGAUGAAAAUGAUAUUGCAUUACUUAAAAUUGUAUUUUCCUCAUUAUGAUGAAGCUAAGCAUCUUUUCUUUUCAUUUUAUUUACUUUUUGGGAAGAUUUUAUUUUUUUAAGUAAUCUCUACACUCAAUAUGGGGCUUGAACUCACAACCCUGAAGUCAAGAAUUGCAUACUUUACCAAAUAAGCCAGCCAGCUGCCCCAACAUCUUUUCAUUGGUAUAAGAUUUAUUUAAAUGUCCUUUCCUGGGAACUAUCCAUACUUUAUUUUUUGGCCCCUUUUUCUCUUGUGGGUUGGUCAUCUUCAUAUCAAGUAAAGACUCUUGGCAUAUUAGGAAAUUAGGCCUUGUCUGAUAUAUAAAUUCCAAAAAUUGGGGAGGCUUGAUGUCCAUGAAAUAAAGAUUGCAUUUCCUACACAAUAAAUACUUAAAUCUCUUUCAACCGUUGGGAGAUUAUUGCAUGUACAAAGUUCCAUUUCAGGAGAACUAAACUUCCAAAAUGAGGUUUGGCUGAGAAGAUUGUCAUGCUUUGCAAAAGAAUCAGAUGUAUAUUAUUCUGAAACAAAGAGGCGCCUGGGUAGCUCAGUGAGUGGAGUAUCUCUUGGUUUUGGCUCAGGUCAUGAUCUCAGGGUCUGAUGGAAUCCUGAGUC
Long non-coding RNA from Canis lupus familiaris (dog), 1155 nucleotides. RefSeq lists it as uncharacterized. NCBI's taxonomy places the organism in Eukaryota, Metazoa, Chordata, Mammalia, Carnivora, Canidae. The record is from RefSeq and is a predicted model, not a curated record. The transcript is spliced from 4 exons.